Molecule: non-coding RNA, 208 nt
Organism: Pelobates cultripes (western spadefoot toad)
Lineage: Eukaryota; Metazoa; Chordata; Amphibia; Anura; Pelobatidae
Source: the annotation of a GenBank genome assembly
AGUGAGGAAGGGGGUGACACAAUGACAGAGUGAGGGAGGGGGUGACUAGUGACAGAGUGAAGGAGGUGGUGACUGUCACUAGUCACCCCAUACCUCCCUCUGUCACUAACCACCUCCCUCACUCUGUCACUAGUCACCCCUUCCCUCCCUCACUCUGUCACUAGUCACCCCCUCCCUCUCUCUGUCACUAGUCACCCCCUUCCUCACU